This 1068-nucleotide ribosomal RNA is filed under the name Attulus floricola. RNAcentral describes it as "partial 28S ribosomal RNA". It matches the Rfam family "Eukaryotic large subunit ribosomal RNA", at positions 99 to 916 of the family's 3401-position model. The record is from RNAcentral. Lineage: Eukaryota; Metazoa; Arthropoda; Arachnida; Araneae; Salticidae.
AGGGAGGAGCCCAGCGCCGAAUCCCCGGCCUUCGGUCKYGGGAAAUGUGGCGUUCAGGAGUGAGCGUGCCGAGAUCGGAAGGGGCGGCAAGUCCCCCUGACCGGGGCCUGUCCGUAGCGGGUGCSAGGCCCAUAGYCGCCYKYUCCGWCUCGGAUGCGAUCUCCUUGGAGUCGGGUUGCUUGGRAGUGCAGCCCUAAUCGCGUGGUAAACUCCACGUAAGGCUAAAUACCSCCGUGAGACCGAUAGCAAACAAGUACCGUGAGGGAAAGUUGCAAAGAACUUUGAAGAGAGAGUUCAAGAGUACGUGAAACUGCUCAGAGGUAAACGGGUGGGCCCUCGAAAUCCUGUGGCGAGAGGAUUCAGUCUGGUGUUGCGGACGUGGAGCCGGAAGUUUUCAGUAGGGCUUCCAGGCGACUGGGCCGUCUGGAUCCGCGUCUUCCGCCGUCCCAGAUGCAAUUCUCUCUCGUCCGAAGGACGUCGCAGCCGGUUGGGCAGUGCAAGCACGUCGGCCUGAAGGCGGGGAGUCGGCAGGUGGCCGGUGACGAGUUUCCAUUCGCCAUCGGUUGUUAGCCAUCCCCUCAGUGGCUCGAUGUCCGACCGUGGUCUCUCGAGGCCCUGAAAGGGCCUUUCUCGUCUCCAUCCCAGCGGGACAGACGGUUGCAGGCGAACUUCGUUCUCGCGUCGCACUCUUUGGGAGUGGUAGUGAGAACGGAGUGCGCCGUUGGUGACUGCGGGCCCGUGGGGGACCGGAGGCUAGCGGCGAGUAGGUCGGUCACCCUCCCGACCCGUCUUGAAACACGGACCAAGGAGUCUAACAUGUACGCGAGUCAAUGGGUCUUGAACAGGCCCACGGGCGCAAUGAAAGCGAAAUUCGUGUCGAGAUCCUCUCUCUCCGGGGAGGGGCGCACCGACGACCCGUCCUAUUCGGCUCGCCGUUUGGACGGAGUCUGAGCGUACACGUUGGGACCCGAAAGAUGGUGAACUAUGCCCGGACAGGACGAAGCCAGAGGAAACUCUGGUGGAGGUCCGAAGCGGUUCUGACGUGCAAAUCGAUCGUCAGAUCUGGGU